ACACGCAUGACACACUGCAUAUCAAUAAGCGGAGGAAAAGAAACUAACAAGGAUUCCCCUAGUAACGGCGAGUGAAGCGGGAAGAGCUCAAAUUUGAAAUCUUCAAAGGGUUUCCCUUUACGAAUUGUAGUUUAAAGAAGUGUUUUCUGUUAGAGAGGUGGUAAAAGUUCUUUGGAAUAGGACAUCAUAGAGGGUGAGAAUCCCGUAUUUGAUCACUUUCUACUAACGUUGUGAUACACUUUCAAAGAGUCGGAUUGUUUGGGAAUGCAGUCCAAAAUGGGUGGUAAAUUUCAUCUAAAGCUAAAUAUUGGCGAGAGACCGAUAGCGAACAAGUACCGUGAGGGAAAGAUGAAAAGAACUUUGAAAAGAGAGUUAAACAGUACGUGAAAUUGUCAAAAGGGAAGCGUUUGACACCAGUGUUGUUUUUCCGAAAAUCAAUUAUGAAUGGCUUGAUUUUAAGUUUCAUGACCUUAAAAGCUUGUUUCUUAUUUUUCAUGUCUUUCGUAAUGCACUUUUCGGUUAACAAGUCAACAUCAAUUUCUUUUGUUGUAAAAGGUUAAGAGGAAGGUGGCUUUACUUUCGGGUAAAGUGUUUAUAGCCUUUUAACUCUGCAAUCGGAGAGAUUGAGGUCUGCGGCGUAGAUCCUUCGGGGUUAGAUACGUUUGUGCUAAGUUAUAGCUUUUCAUAGACAACUUGUUGACUAUGUUAAGUCUUGUAAUUUACUCGCAGAUGCUAUUUUACCUACGCUUAGGAUGUUGACUGAUAUGUAGUCGUA
This 775-nucleotide ribosomal RNA is filed under the name uncultured Neocallimastigales. RNAcentral describes it as "partial large subunit ribosomal RNA". It matches the Rfam family "Eukaryotic large subunit ribosomal RNA", at positions 23 to 644 of the family's 3401-position model. The record is from RNAcentral. Lineage: Eukaryota; Fungi; Neocallimastigomycota; Neocallimastigomycetes; Neocallimastigales.